RNAcentral lists this unclassified non-coding RNA (377 nucleotides) under uncultured Pseudomonadota bacterium. RNAcentral's name for it is "uncultured proteobacterium contains 16S-23S intergenic spacer region". The record is from RNAcentral. Lineage: Bacteria; Pseudomonadati; Pseudomonadota.
UCCGGUUUGUCACCGGCAGUCUCCUUAGAGUUCCCGCCAUUACGCGCUGGCAACUAAGGACAAGGGUUGCGCUCGUUGCGGGACUUAACCCAACAUCUCACGACACGAGCUGACGACAGCCAUGCAGCACCUGUCUCACGGUUCCCGAAGGCACUCUCUGAUCUCUCAAAGAUUCCGUGGAUGUCAAGACCAGGUAAGGUUCUGCGCGUUGCAUCGAAUUAAACCACAUACUCCACCGCUUGUGCGGGCCCCCGUCAAUUCCUUUGAGUUUCAGUCUUGCGACCGUACUCCCCAGGCGGGGUGCUUAAAGCGUUAGCUGCGCCACCGACGAGCAAGCUCGCCGAAGGCUAGCACCCAUAGUUUACGGCGUGGACUAC